UACGUAGGUGGCAAGCGUUGUCCGGAUUUACUGGGCGUAAAGAGCGCGCAGGCGGUCGUUCAAGUCGCGUGUGAAAGCCCCCGGCUCAACUGGGGAGGGUCACGCGAUACUGAUCGACUCGAAGGCAGGAGAGGGUAGUGGAAUUCCCGGUGUAGUGGUGAAAUGCGUAGAUAUCGGGAGGAACACCAGUGGCGAAGGCAGGUCUCUGGGCCGAUACUGACGCUGAGGAGCGAAAGCGUGGGGAGCGAACAGG
RNAcentral lists this ribosomal RNA (253 nucleotides) under uncultured bacterium. Its description in RNAcentral is "partial 16S ribosomal RNA". It matches the Rfam family "Bacterial small subunit ribosomal RNA", at positions 524 to 776 of the family's 1533-position model. The record is from RNAcentral.